RNAcentral lists this long non-coding RNA (613 nucleotides) under Mytilus galloprovincialis (Mediterranean mussel). Lineage: Eukaryota; Metazoa; Mollusca; Bivalvia; Mytilida; Mytilidae. The record is from RNAcentral.
AUUUUUUGUGUAUAAAAUGUUUUGUUAUUUUUUUUAUAGAAUUGCUUUAGUUGCCUUCUUGACUAACAUUUAUUGGUGAAUGGAGAGACUAGCAGGCUGAGAUUGAGGCAUAAGGGGAGGGAUUACCCCUGCUUUUCUCUUCAUACUUGUAAAUUCUGUCACUGCACGGAAGGUCAACAAUUAAGAAUAUAUAAGUUUUUUUAUGUAUCAAUGUAAGUUAGAUAAGUUAUAUCAGAUGUAUAUAAAGUAAGAUGAAAGUAUUCUUUAGAGCUCUGUAAAAAAAAAAAGCUUGUAAACAGAGGUCUAGAUAAUGCAUUAAGGGGUUUGGUUUGACAUGGGGAUUUCAAAUUAUAUUUACAAGUCAUCAUCUACAAAAAUGCAUCUGAUAUUAUUUGCCCCCAGCCCAGUUUCAUGUCCCAAAUAUAAUGACUGCAGAAUAAUGGCUACAGCUUAGUCAACAGCCUUAUUUAAAGUUUCUGAUUCACUUCCAUUCCCAACCCCACCCCCACCCCCACCCUUUUAAUAAGUAGUUAUAGAUUAAGGUUUCUUAUUGGGAGUAAUGAUUGAUUGAUUUUAAUUAAGUGUCACAGAAUUAUUAAGAUACUAAUUUCUG